Molecule: RNA transcript, 319 nt
Organism: Rhinopithecus roxellana (golden snub-nosed monkey)
Lineage: Eukaryota; Metazoa; Chordata; Mammalia; Primates; Cercopithecidae
Gene name: NADH dehydrogenase [ubiquinone] 1 alpha subcomplex subunit 3 pseudogene
Exons: 1
Source: RefSeq, a predicted model, not a curated record
GAGACCAAGAUGGCUGCGAGACUCGGCGCCUUCCUCAAGAAUGCCUGGGACAAGGAGCCAGUGCUGGUCACGUCCUUCGUCAUCAGGGGCCUCGCUAUAAUUAUGCCCUCAUUCAGCCCCUACUUCAAGUACUCCAUCAUGAUCAACAAGGCCACGCCCUACAACUACCCAGUGCCCGUCCGUGAUGAUGGGAACAUGCCGGACGUGCCCAGCCACCCCCAGGACCCUCAGGGCCCAAGCCUGGAGUGGCUGAAGAAACUGUGAGCACCUUCACUGACAGAGGCCGCCCCUCCCACGGCUCCCAAUAAAAAUGUGGAAA